RNAcentral lists this ribosomal RNA (1377 nucleotides) under uncultured prokaryote. RNAcentral describes it as "partial 16S ribosomal RNA". It matches the Rfam family "Bacterial small subunit ribosomal RNA", at positions 54 to 1394 of the family's 1533-position model. The record is from RNAcentral.
CAUGCAAGUCGAACGCUGAUUUCAGGGUAGCAAUAUUCUGAAGUCGGAGUGGCGCAAGGGUGCGUAACACGUGGGCAACCUGCCCUGAAGUCCGGGAUAACUCGCUGAAAGGCGAGCUAAUACCGGAUGUGCAUUUCGGAGGGCAUCUUCUGAAAUGCAAAGUUGAGGACCGAAAGGCUUGACGCUUCUGGAUGGGCCCGCGGCCUAUCAGCUAGUUGGUGAGGUAAAGGCUCACCAAGGCUACGACGGGUAACUGGUCUGAGAGGACGAUCAGUCACACUGGAACUGAGCCACGGUCCAGACACCUACGGGUGGCAGCAGUAGGGAAUAUUGCGCAAUGGGCGAAAGCCUGACGGAGCCAUGCCGCGUGGGGGAUGAAGGGCUUCGGCUCGUAAACCCCUGUCAUUCGCGAACAAUUCCUCCAACCUAACACGUUGGAGGUUGAUGGUAACUGAAGAGGAAGGGACGGCUAACUUCGUGCCAGCAGCCGCGGUAAUACGAAGGUCCCAAGCGUUGUUCGGAUUUACUGGGCGUAAAGGGAGCGCAGGCGGUGAGGAAAGUCUGAUGUGAAAUCUCCGGGCUCAACUCGGAAAUGGCAUUGAAUACUGCCCUGCUAGAGGAUUGGAGGGGGGACUGGAAUUCUCGGUGUAGCAGUGAAAUGCGUAGAUAUCGAGAGGAACACCAGUGGCGAAGGCGAGUCCCUGGACAAUUCCUGACACUGAGGCACGAAAGCUAGGGUAGCAAACAGGAUUAGAUACCCUGGUAGUCCUAGCCGUAAACGGUGCACGUUUGCUGUGAGCGGAUUCGACCCCUUUUGUGGCGAAGCUAACGCGUUAAGUGUGCCGCCUGGGGAGUACGGUCGCAAGAUUAAAACUCAAAGAAAUUGACGGGGGCCUGCACAAGCGGUGGAGUAUGUGGCUUAAUUCGAUGCAACGCGAAGAACCUUACCUGGCCUUGACAUGCAAGUAGUAGAAACCUGAAAGGGUGACGAGGUAGCAAUACCAGCUUGCACAGGUGCUGCAUGGCUGUCGUCAGCUCGUGUCGUGAGAUGUUGGGUUAAGUCCCGCAACGAGCGCAACCCCUAUGUUCUGUUGCCACUCGAACGUGAGUUCGAAGCACUCUGAACAGACUGCCUCAUUUAAAUGAGGAGGAAGGUGGGGAUGACGUCAAGUCAGUAUGGCCCUUACGGCCAGGGCUGCACACGUACUACAAUGCCCGGCACAAAGGGAUGCGAUACCGUGAGGUGGAGCGAAUCCCAUAAAACCGGGCCCAGUUCGGAUUGUAGUCUGCAACUCGACUACAUGAAGCCGGAAUCGCUAGUAAUGGCGCAUCAGCUACGGCGCCGUGAAUACGUUCCCAGGCCUUGUACACACCGCC